GAUCAAGCAAGGAAGGGCGCAGGGAGGAUGCCUGGCCACACUGUACUGAAGAAGGACGUGCCAAACAGCGAAAUGCGACGGUGAGCCGUAAGGAGGCAAAGACCCGUCGGUGUCCGAAUGGGGGAACCCGGCAGCCAGAAGGCUGUCAUCCCGAAAGGGAGAGGUACCCGGGGAACUGAAACAUCUAAGUACCCGGAGGAAAAGAAAACAACAGUGAUUCCCCGAGUAGCGGCGAGCGAAAGGGGAAAAAGCCCAAACCGGAGAGAUCCGGGGUAGUAGGACCGUCAAAAGAGUGCGAAAGACACAGCAGAAUGUACAGGGAAGUACAGCCAGAGAGAGUGAAAGCCUCGUAAGCGAAGUGUGUGAAGCAUGAGACGGUAUCCUGAGUACGGCGGGACACGAGAAAUCUUGUCGGAAGCAGGCGGGACCAUCCGCCAAGGCAAAAUAUACAGUGUGAGCGAUAGAGAACGAGUACCGUGAGGGAAAGGUGAAAAGAACCGCGGGAGCGGAGUGAAAGAGAACCUGAAACCGUGUGCCUAAAAGAAGUCAGAGCCCGUCAAAGGGUGAUGGCGUGCCUUUUGUAGAAUGAACCGGCGAGUUGUUCCAUGGUGCGAGGUUAAGUCGGAAAGGACGGAGCCGAAGCGAAAGCGAGUCUUAAGAGGGCGGUAAGAGUAGUAUGGAGCAGACCCGAAACCGGGUGAUCUAGCCAUGGGCAGGUUGAAGCAGAAGUGAAAUUCUGUGGAGGACCGAACCGACUACCGUUGAAAAGUUAGCGGAUGACCUGUGGCUAGGGGAGAAAUUCCAAUCGAACCCGGAGAUAGCUGGUUCUCCCCGAAAUAGCUUUAGGGCUAGCGUCGGAGGAUGACAGACGGAGGUAGAGCACUGAACGGAUGAUGGCCCCAUCCCGGGGUACUGAAUGCGAUCAAACUGCGAAUGCCGACUGGGAGGAAUCCGGCAGUGAGACUGUGGGUGAUAAGGUCCAUGGUCGAGAGGGAAAGAGCCCAGACCGCCAGCAAAGGUCCCAAAAUACUGGCUAAGUGGAAAAGGAUGUGGGGACGCACGGACAGCUAGGAGGUUGGCUCAGAAGCAGCCAUCCUUGAAAGAGUGCGUAACAGCUCACUAGUCGAGUGGCCCUGCGCCGAAAAUGUACCGGGGCUUAAGCCAGGUACCGAAGCUGCGGAUGUAUAUGGAAGUAUAUGUGGUAGGGGAGCGUUGCAUGCAGGAAGAAGUAUGACGGAGACGGCAUAUGGACAGCAUGGAAGAGAGAAUGCCGGUGUGAGUAGCGAGAUGCAGGUGAGAAUCCUGCACACCGAAAGCCCAAGGAUUCCAGGGGAAGGUUCGUCCGCCCUGGGUAAGUCGGGACCUAACGUGAGGCCGAAAGGCGCAGCGGAUGGAAAGCAGGCGGAGAUUCCUGCACCCGUAUAUGGAGCGAAGGAGUGACGGAGAAGGCAGAUGCGACCCUCUUACUGGAUUGAGGGCCAAGCGAAGCAGGUGGUAUCCAGGCAAAUCCGGAUACGGAAACCAGAGCGUGACGGGUAAGCGAAAGCGGAAGGCGAGUAGCGAAGCGCAUCGGGUCAGCUUCCAGGAAAAGCUUCUAGUGUCAAUGCAUAUACGGCCCGUACCAAAACCGACACAGGUGGGCGCGCAGAGGAUGCGAAGGUGAGCGAGAGAACUGUUGCCAAGGAACUCGGCAAAAUGGCCCCGUACGUUCGCAAGAAGGGGCGCUCGAAAGAGCCGCAGUGAAAAGGCCCAAGCGACUGUUUAACUAAAACACAGCUCCCUGCGAAGCCGCAAGGCGAAGUAUAGGGGGUGACACCUGCCCGGUGCUGGAAGGUUAAGGCAAGCUGUGAACCGCGAGGUGAAGCAGUGACCCGAAGCCCCAGUGAACGGCGGCCGUAACUAUAACGGUCCUAAGGUAGCGAAAUUCCUUGUCAGGUAAGUUCUGACCCGCACGAAAGGUGUAACGAUUUGGGCGCUGUCUCGGCAGCAGACUCGGUGAAAUCUUAGUACCUGUGAAAAUGCAGGUUACCCGCAACUAGACGGAAAGACCCCAUGGAGCUUUACUGCAGCCUGGUAUUGGGUCCUGGACAGCCAUGUACAGGAUAGGUGGGAGACAAAGAAGCGAGUACGCAAGUAUUGGUGGAGUCGCCGGUGGGAUACCACUCCUGGAUGUAUGGGGCCCUAACCCGUGUGCCGAGAGGGACAGGGGAGAGUGCCAGGCGGGCAGUUUGACUGGGGCGGUCGCCUCCCAAAGAGUAACGGAGGCGCCCAAAGGUACGCUCAGGUUGGAUGGGAACCAACUGAAGAGUGCAAAUGCAGAAGCGUGCCUGACUGCGACAGAGACAACUGGAGCAGGGACGAAAGUCGGGAUUAGUGAUCCGGCGGUGCCGAAUGGAAGGGCCGUCGCUCAACGGAUAAAAGCUACCCUGGGGAUAACAGGCUGAUCUCGCCCAAGAGUUCACAUCGACGGCGAGGUUUGGCACCUCGAUGUCGGCUCAUCGCAUCCUGGAGCUGGAUUCGGUUCCAAGGGUUGGGCUGUCCGCCCAUUAAAGCGGUACGCGAGCUGGGUUCAGAACGUCGUGAGACAGUUCGGUCCCUAUCUGUUGUGGGCGUCGGAGAUCUGAGGGAAGCUGUCCUCAGUACGAGAGGACCGGGAUGGACCUGCCGCUGGUGCACCAGUUAUCAUGCCAAUGGUAUAGCUGGGUAGCCAAGCAGGGAACGGAUAAGAGCUGAAAGCAUCUAAGCACGAAGCCGGACCCAAGACGAGAUCUCCCAUUCUAAAAGAGAAGUAAGACCCCUUGAAGACUACGAGGUGGAUAGACCAGGGAUGGAAGUGCAGAGAUGCAUGGAGUUGACUGGCACUAAUCGGUCGAGGACUUGAUCUA
Ribosomal RNA from Faecalibaculum rodentium, 2885 nucleotides. It matches the Rfam family "Bacterial large subunit ribosomal RNA". NCBI's taxonomy places the organism in Bacteria, Bacillati, Bacillota, Erysipelotrichia, Erysipelotrichales, Erysipelotrichaceae. The record is from Rfam.